ACAGGACAAAGGCAAACCCGUCGAAAGGCGGGGACGCAAAGCCACCGGUCUCACGGAACAUCCAAGACAGCGGGGUUGCCCAC
RNAcentral lists this non-coding RNA (83 nucleotides) under Thioalkalivibrio sulfidiphilus. Its description in RNAcentral is "Thioalkalivibrio sulfidophilus c-di-GMP sequence". It matches the Rfam family "c-di-GMP-I-GGC riboswitch aptamer". The record is from RNAcentral. Lineage: Bacteria; Pseudomonadati; Pseudomonadota; Gammaproteobacteria; Chromatiales; Ectothiorhodospiraceae.